RNAcentral lists this non-coding RNA (124 nucleotides) under Mesorhizobium sp. Root554. Its description in RNAcentral is "TPP riboswitch aptamer (THI element)". It matches the Rfam family "TPP riboswitch aptamer (THI element)". Rfam says of the family: Vitamin B(1) in its active form thiamin pyrophosphate (TPP) is an essential coenzyme that is synthesised by coupling of pyrimidine and thiazole moieties in bacteria. The previously detected thiamin-regulatory element, thi box was extended, resulting in a new, highly conserved RNA secondary structure, the THI element, which is widely distributed in eubacteria and also occurs in some archaea. Analysis of operon structures identified a large number of new candidate thiamin-regulated genes, mostly transporters, in various prokaryotic organisms. Lineage: Bacteria; Pseudomonadati; Pseudomonadota; Alphaproteobacteria; Hyphomicrobiales; Phyllobacteriaceae. The record is from Rfam by way of RNAcentral. RNAcentral also lists the same sequence under 1 other name.
AGGUCUCACCAGGGGAGUCCCGACAAGGGGCUGAGAUACUGCUGGCCCAGAUAUUGGGCAGCGCAGUGACCCGUUGAACCUGAUCCAGUUCACACUGGCGUAGGGACGGUGCGAGGUUUCGCGG